Molecule: ribosomal RNA, 241 nt
Filed under: uncultured bacterium
Lineage: Bacteria
Description: partial 16S ribosomal RNA
Rfam family: Bacterial small subunit ribosomal RNA
Source: RNAcentral
AAGCGUUAUCCGGAUUCACUGGGUUUAAAGGGUGUGUAGGCGGAUAUUUAAGUCAGUGGUGAAAUCUCCAGGCUCAACCUGGAAACUGCCAUUGAUACUAUUUAUCUUGAAUUCUGUUGAGGUGGGCGGAAUACAUCAUGUAGCGGUGAAAUGCUUAGAUAUGAUGUAGAACACCGAUUGCGAAGGCAGCUCACUAAACAGAUAUUGACGCUGAGGCACGAAAGCGUGGGGAUCAAACAGG